Molecule: non-coding RNA, 26 nt
Filed under: Mus musculus (house mouse)
Lineage: Eukaryota; Metazoa; Chordata; Mammalia; Rodentia; Muridae
Also listed under: 1 other name
Source: RNAcentral
UGAAUGUGAUGGAGCAUCAAUGCCUG